RNAcentral lists this ribosomal RNA (333 nucleotides) under uncultured bacterium. RNAcentral describes it as "bacterial SSU rRNA". It matches the Rfam family "Bacterial small subunit ribosomal RNA", at positions 165 to 507 of the family's 1533-position model. The record is from RNAcentral.
AUUACAGUAUUCGCAUUGUUUUUGUAAUUUAAAGUUUUAAUGGUUGAGAUGGGCAUGCGUGACAUUAGUUUGUUGGUGAGGUAAUGGCUCACCAAGACUACGAUGUCUAGGGGUUCUGAGAGGAUGAUCCCCCACACUGGUACUGAGACACGGACCAGACUCCUACGGGAGGCAGCAGUGAGGAAUAUUGGACAAUGGAGGCAACUCUGAUCCAGCCAUCCCGCGUGCAGGAAGACGGCCCUAUGGGUUGUAAACUGCUUUUAUACAGGAAUAAACCCCUCUACGUGUAGAGGGCUGAAGGUACUGUAAGAAUAAGCACCGGCUAACUCCGUG